This 310-nucleotide ribosomal RNA is filed under the name uncultured bacterium. Its description in RNAcentral is "partial 16S ribosomal RNA". It matches the Rfam family "Bacterial small subunit ribosomal RNA", at positions 503 to 809 of the family's 1533-position model. The record is from RNAcentral.
AAGAGACAGCAGUCGCCACGGUAAUACGUAGGGUGCGAGCGUUAAUCGGAAUUACUGGGCGUAAAGCGUGCGCAGGCGGUUUGUUAAGACAGAUGUGAAAUCCCCGGGCUUAACCUGGGAACUGCAUUUGUGACUGGCCGGCUAGAGUAUGGCAGAGGGAGGUGGAAUUCCACGUGUAGCAGUGAAAUGCGUAGAUAUGUGGAGGAACACCGAUGGCGAAGGCAGCCUCCUGGGCCAAUACUGACGCUCAUGCACGAAAGCGUGGGGAGCAAACAGGAUUAGAUACCCGUGUAGUCCCUGUCUCUUAUAA